CACCAUUCUUGGGGCCCUAGAUCUGAGACAUGAUGUUCACAGGUGCAGGGUCAUCUUUUACAUCCUGGAACCUCCUGGCUCAUCUUGAACAAGAGAGAGUUUGCUUUCCAAGGCACUAUUGGUCUGCAGAAUUUGCUCUAAAUUUUGGAUAAGCUUCUUCUUGUCCAAUUUAGAGGUUUCCAGGGCUUUACGAAUUUCUAAUUGUUUGCGGCUCCUGUUUUUUCUUCUGCGCUCCAGCUUUUCAUCCACAGCCAUGGCAGCUUUGAAAAAAUCACGUGAAGAAGCUCUGCGAUUAUCACCACAGUCAGAGACAGAUUCCCUUCCAGGCAGAUCAGUCAUGAAACGAACUCUACGUGUUGGAGAAUACAGGGCAGAAGUUUGUUCCCUAAGUUCCAGGUUGUCCUUUACGUCACAGGCCAGGCAUGACCUAAAAUGGUUACUGGACUUCUGCUGCCAGCAAUUUUCUGAAGACUUUCUUUUUUUAAGAGGCAUUUUCGCUAUAAACUUUGUGGCUUAAGGAGAAAUAAAAAUCCUGGAGAAGGCAGAUCAAGUUUGAGAAGAGUGGUGUCCAUUUUCAAAUACAGAUUCUUAUCCACAGUUACAUAUUGUUUUAAAAAGCUGUUACAUUACUGAGGUCUGAAGGGAGACAUUUUAAAUCUGAUUCUGUUCCCUUUCCUCAUCAAUGGCUGUUGAAAAGUUCUAUGCUCAACAGCCCUUCUUAUUCAAAGGUAAAGCUGUAUGUUCUCUCCCAUAUCAUAGAAAUGCUGGGACAUCACUCUGUUCCAUUUGUGAUGUCAUGAGACUCCUCCUCUUUGGUCAGAAUGUGAUUUAAACAGUGUAAUAUUUCACAAUCCACUUUCUCUAACACACAAAUGAAGUGAAAAAAAUGUGCAGAUUGACAAGUUGGAUAAAUUUAACUCCUUAUUCCUUUUUUUUCUUCAAAAUAGCAACACUGAAAUCUGCAAUGAUAUGUCCUGGGAAGUUAAAAUGCUCUGAUAUUACUUGUCAUACCCUAUUUUGAGUCAUGAUAUCAAUUUGUGUCUGUUACUUAUUUUGUUUAAAAUAAACUCAGCAAACCUUCCCUGCCUAAGAGAAAAUUAGAACCUGGGUCUCCCUACUCCUAUAUGAUUGCUCCAUCUAUUUCGCCAAAAUGUGUUUUAAUGCUCUAAAAUUAUUACUUAUUAUUUCCAUUCAAAAAUCG
This is a non-coding RNA of Notechis scutatus (mainland tiger snake), 1201 nucleotides long. The record is from RefSeq and is a predicted model, not a curated record. NCBI's taxonomy places the organism in Eukaryota, Metazoa, Chordata, Lepidosauria, Squamata, Elapidae.